RNAcentral lists this transfer RNA (75 nucleotides) under Pseudomonadota bacterium. RNAcentral describes it as "tRNA-Thr". It matches the Rfam family "tRNA". Rfam says of the family: Transfer RNA (tRNA) molecules are approximately 80 nucleotides in length. Lineage: Bacteria; Pseudomonadati; Pseudomonadota. The record is from RNAcentral. RNAcentral also lists the same sequence under 1 other name.
GCCGAAGUAACUCAGCGGUAGAGUAGCUGUUUUGUAAACAGCAAGUCAUGGGUUCGAAUCCCAUCUUCGGCUCCA